UAACGUAUCCCAAUACUCUGUAGGUUC
This 27-nucleotide small RNA is filed under the name Bombyx mori (domestic silkworm). RNAcentral's name for it is "ovarian small RNA-5683". Lineage: Eukaryota; Metazoa; Arthropoda; Insecta; Lepidoptera; Bombycidae. The record is from RNAcentral.